ACAAAUCCAGUUUAUUAAUUUAAAUCUGAUUUUUUUCAUGAGUAAAAUGCAUUUUAUAAUACUAAUAUAGUUGGUUUUCGUUUAAAAUGUUAAAGGUCAAGCUAUCAUCCUGGAAUAGUAACUAACUUAUAAUGUAGCAUUUCAAAAAUUAUUUCUGUUCCUUUGAGAUAAUUUCUAAUGUUUCAAAAACCACAUUCUUGUAACUUUUUUCUUAAAUGUUUUAUAAAUACUCAUAAGAAACAUGGUCUGCAUUAGAGACCCACUCUUACUAGGCUCUCUGAGGCUCUGUCAUAGAUUAUGUUUUAGGCAAUAUAAACCGAGCACUGACGACAGUGGUAGUGCAUUUUUGAUUCACUAAAGCAUUAAAGCAAUACCUAAUUUCAGUUUUUAAAUCACAGCUUUGUUACUCUGGAUAUAUGAU
RNAcentral lists this long non-coding RNA (421 nucleotides) under Bos taurus (domestic cattle). RNAcentral's name for it is "long non-coding RNA NONBTAT020591". The record is from RNAcentral. Lineage: Eukaryota; Metazoa; Chordata; Mammalia; Artiodactyla; Bovidae.